GGGCACGUAGUGUAGGGGUACACUCGGGUCUCAUUAUCCACCGGAAUAGCUGGUUCGAUUCCGGCCGUGUCCA
This 73-nucleotide transfer RNA is filed under the name Chaetomium tenue. Its description in RNAcentral is "tRNA-Met". It matches the Rfam family "tRNA". Rfam says of the family: Transfer RNA (tRNA) molecules are approximately 80 nucleotides in length. Their secondary structure includes four short double-helical elements and three loops (D, anti-codon, and T loops). Lineage: Eukaryota; Fungi; Ascomycota; Sordariomycetes; Sordariales; Chaetomiaceae. The record is from RNAcentral.